RNAcentral lists this ribosomal RNA (495 nucleotides) under uncultured bacterium. Its description in RNAcentral is "partial 16S ribosomal RNA". It matches the Rfam family "Bacterial small subunit ribosomal RNA", at positions 28 to 507 of the family's 1533-position model. The record is from RNAcentral.
GACGAACGCUGGCGGCGUGCCUAAUACAUGCCAGUAGAACGCCGAAGGAGUAGCUUGCUGCUCUGGCUGAGUUGCGAACGGGUGAGUAACGCGUAGGUAACCUGCCUGGCAGCGGGGGAUAACUUUUGGAAACGAUAGUUAAUAUCGCAUAACAGCAGUUGUUGCAUGACAACCGUUUGAAAGGUGCAAUUGGACCACUACCAGGAGCACCUGCGUUGUUUUAGCGAGGUGGGGGGGUAAGGGCACACCAAGGCCAAGAUGCAGAGCCGAGCUGAGAGGGUGAUCGGCCACACCGGGAACGAGAAACGGCCCAGACCUCUUCGGGAGGCAACAGUAGGGAAUUAUCGGAAAUGGACGGAAGUCUGACCGAGCAACGCCGCGUGAGUGAAGAAGGUUUUCGGAUCGUAAAGCUCUGUUGUAAGAGAAGGACGAGUGUGAGGGUGGAAAGUUCACACUGUGACGGUACCUAACGAGAAAGCGACGGCUAACUACGUG